CGAGUCCCUCCCCGUGCACGCACCGAGCGCUGAGGCGCGCCGCUCUGCCGAACGCGUGCCUGCGUGCCCCUCGCACACACAUAGCUGGGGCUGCGGCACCGACGGACGGACUUUGGCCGGGAUCACGUGGGGCUGCGAGGCACACCACGGGAGCGUGCGGCGAUCGCCGUGUGUCGGCCAGACGUGGGGCUGUGGCACCGGGGUACGACGCGCUCAUCUGAGGUACAUCUCGGGACACCGGAGUCCCGAGAGCGUGUGGCUAUCGCCGUGAGGCGCACGCAGCGCUCUGAGCUGCGUGAGGUCGGAGGCACGCAGGGCUGUGUUACUUGGAGGCACGCACAGGCCUGAGCAACGUGCUGAGACGUGAGGGUGCCCCGUUCCUGGAGGAAGGAGGGCAGCCUGGCCUGGUGGGGGAUCAGCGCGCGUGGAAGCGUGGAGCUGUGUCCCGUACCGCAAGGCUGUCAGCAGGACAGGCACGCAGACUGCUGCAAUACGCAGAGAGAGCGAGAUUACGGCCUGCACUGAGACCUUGCUGCUGUGUGCUUCCCCUGGCACGUCUGUCAACUGCAGAGAAACGAUCCUCAGACAACUGGAUAAACCAGACAUUGACACUAACAGAGCAUGUGACUGGAGUUAAGCAGUUUCUUCAGAUUGUCACCUGCUUCGGCCCGCAUAGCGUCAAAGUGGAACCUGAAAGGCUCACAAAAGGCACAAUGAAAAUAAAGGGCAUUACUGAUGAGCUGAUAUGGGGCUAUGUUAUCAGAGUCACUUAGGUGCUAAGAUGGUGGAGACAGUUAUCCCAGGUGGUGGAAGAAUGGAAGUACCAUGACAGGAGAAGGAAGCCUGCCAUCACUAUUUUCACCAUCCUAUCUUGCUCAGAAGCAGCAUGUGUCUUAUAGGAACACACUCCCAACAUCCAGUCCAGCCUGCUAUCUUCAGCCACCCUCUAUCUGAACGAACUUAGGCUCCAGGGACAUCCCAACAUUAUCAUGGUCAUGGUGCUGGAGCCAGUCGUGCUGCAGAUGGACACUGCUGUGGUUGCAGGAUACCUAGAGAUGAUGGCAUGCUUUGAGGACUUUUUUUGCACAGAUUUAAUGUUUCCAGGAUAAUCUUCACAGCUAUUGGGAUGGUACCAGCCAGUAGAUGUUCACUUCAUUGGAGUCCUUUUGCACUUCCACUUGUCAGCCAGAGGCAUCUAAAAGGCUGCUGGUGAGUUCAGUGCAUGCUUGAGAUGUGGAGAAAGCACAAACAUGGCAAGAAAUUGACAGCAUCUGUUUGCUUGCUGACCCCUCCAUCUGCUGUGAAAGAAGGGAGAAGUGGGUUCUUUGGAUGUCACA
Long non-coding RNA from Tympanuchus pallidicinctus (lesser prairie-chicken), 1337 nucleotides. RefSeq lists it as uncharacterized. Lineage: Eukaryota; Metazoa; Chordata; Aves; Galliformes; Phasianidae. The record is from RefSeq and is a predicted model, not a curated record. The transcript has 8 exons.